AAACCAACAGGGAUUGCCUCAGUAACGGCGAGUGAAGCGGCAAAAGCUCAAAUUUGAAAUCCGCCAGGAGUUGUAGUUUGAAGGCGGGGUGGAGCGGCCGCGCGUGGCCAAGUCCCUUGGAACAGGGCGCCUUAGAGGGUGAGAGCCCCGUGGGCCUGCAGCGCGAGCCUCUAUUCCGGCCCGCCGACGAGUCGAGUUGUUUGGGAAUGCAGCUCAAAGUGGGUGGUAAAUUCCAUCUAAAGCUAAAUACCGGCGAGAGACCGAUAGCGAACAAGUACAGUGAUGGAAAGAUGAAAAGCACUUUGAAAAGAGAGUGAAACAGUACGUGAAAUUGUUGAAAGGGAAGGGCUUGCAAGCAGACACGGCCUUCACUGGCCGGGCCAGCAUCGGUUGGCAGGGGUGGACAAGGCGGCGGGAAUGUGGCUUGCGUCUCUGGCGCAAGUGUUUAUAGCCCGCUGAGAUACACCCACUGGCGACCGAGGCCUGCGAUUCUAUCUAGGAUGCUGGCGUAAUGGUUGCAAGCCGC
This 526-nucleotide ribosomal RNA is filed under the name [Candida] sp. ST-302. RNAcentral's name for it is "eukaryotic LSU rRNA". It matches the Rfam family "Eukaryotic large subunit ribosomal RNA", at positions 62 to 648 of the family's 3401-position model. Lineage: Eukaryota; Fungi; Ascomycota; Saccharomycetes; Saccharomycetales. The record is from RNAcentral. RNAcentral also lists the same sequence under 1 other name.